GGCUUCUUGUUUAUUUAAGAAGUCAGGCCUGCCCGGUGAUUUAUUUUAACGGCCGCGGUAUAUUGACCGUGCAAAGGUAGCAUAAUCAUUAGUCUUUUAAUAGGGGGCUGGAAUGAAAGGUUGGACGAAGUAUUAGCUGUCUCUAUUAUAUUGUUUGAAUUUAAUUUUUAAGUUAAAAAGCUUAAAUUGUUUUGGAGGACGAGAAGACCCUAUAGAGCUUAACACUUACUUUUUAUUGAUUUUUAGUUUAUGGUUAAUUAUUAUUUUAUUAGUGUUUGGUUGGGGUGACAAAAAUAUAUAAUUAACUUUUUUAUUUUAUAAACAUAAAUUUAUGAAUAUUUGACCCAUUAAUAUUGGUUAAUAGAUUAAGUUACCUUAGGGAUAACAGCGUAAUCUUUUUUUGGAGUUCUUAUUUACAAAAGGGGUUGCGACCUCGAUGUUGGAUUAAGAUAAUUAUUUGGUGUAGUAGCUACAUUAAUAGGUCUGUUCGACCUUUAAAUUCUUACAUGAUCUGAGUUCAGACCGG
RNAcentral lists this ribosomal RNA (526 nucleotides) under Idiocnemis sp. BOLD:AAY8512. RNAcentral's name for it is "partial 16S ribosomal RNA". It matches the Rfam family "Bacterial large subunit ribosomal RNA", at positions 1817 to 2619 of the family's 2925-position model. Lineage: Eukaryota; Metazoa; Arthropoda; Insecta; Odonata; Platycnemididae. The record is from RNAcentral.